UCCUCAAACGAAAACCUGUGAACACGUUUAAAAAUUCGCGUUGGGCGUCGGGGUAAAACCUGCGCCCCUCGCCACCUGCCCGGCCGAAUGGCGACCAUAACGGGCUGUCGGUCGUGUCGGGCAACCGAAUCAAAAACCGGCGCGGGAAGCGCCAAGGACUUUACGAAAUGGGAUGCCUUCCUGCGGAGAGGGACCGUUCGCGGAUUCCUCGCCGUGGGGCUUGAGAGGCGCCUCCGAACGAAACAUUACACGACUCUCGGCAACGGAUAUCUAGGCUCUCGCAUCGAUGAAGAACGUAGCAAACUGCGAUACUUGGUGUGAAUUGCAGAAUCCCGUGAACCAUCGAGUCUUUGAACGCAAGUUGCGCCCGAAGCCAUUAGGCCGAGGGCACGUCUGCCUGGGCGUCACGCAUCGCGUCGCCCCCCCCCCC
This 430-nucleotide unclassified non-coding RNA is filed under the name Hoya elliptica. Its description in RNAcentral is "sequence contains 18S rRNA gene, ITS1, 5.8S rRNA gene, ITS2 and 28S rRNA gene". The stretch from base 252 to 407 matches the Rfam family "5.8S ribosomal RNA". Lineage: Eukaryota; Viridiplantae; Streptophyta; Magnoliopsida; Gentianales; Apocynaceae. The record is from RNAcentral.